UGGGGAAUUUUGGACAAUGGGCGCAAGCCUGAUCCAGCAAUGCCGCGUGCAGGAAGAAGGCCUUCGGGUUGUAAACUGCUUUUGUCAGGGAAGAAAUCCUCUGGGUUAAUACCUCGGGGGGAUGACGGUACCUGAAGAAUAAGCACCGGCUAACUACGUGCCAGCAGCCGCGGUAAUACGUAGGGUGCGAGCGUUAAUCGGAAUUACUGGGCGUAAAGCGUGCGCAGGCGGUUGUGCAAGACAGGUGUGAAAAUCCCCCGGGCUUAAACCUGGGAACUGCACUUGUGACUGCACGGCUAGAGUACGGUAGAGGGGGGAUGGAAUUCCGCGUGUAGCAGUGAAAUGCGUAGAUAUGCGGAGGAACACCGAUGGCGAAGGCAAUCCCCUGGACCUGUACUGACGCUCAUGCACGAAAGCGUGGGGAGCAAAACAGGAUUAGAUACCCUGGUAGUCCACGCCCUAAAACGAUGUCAACUGGUUGUUGGACGGCUCGCUGUUCAGUAACGAAGCUAACGCGUGAAGUUGACCGCCUGGGGAGUACGGCCGC
This 547-nucleotide ribosomal RNA is filed under the name uncultured bacterium. RNAcentral's name for it is "partial 16S ribosomal RNA". It matches the Rfam family "Bacterial small subunit ribosomal RNA", at positions 355 to 889 of the family's 1533-position model. The record is from RNAcentral.